ACAGUGGACGCGAGCAUCUUUGUUGUAAGUAAUGAAGAGCGUACGGUGGAUGCCUUGGCACCAGGAGCCGAUGAAGGACGUAGGAGGCUGCGAUAAGCCUCGGGGAGCUGUCAACCGAGCUGAGAUCCGAGGGUGUCCGAAUGGGGAAACCCAGCACGAGUGAUGUCGUGUUACCUGCACCUGAAUAUAUAGGGUGUGUGGAGGGAACGUGGGGAAGUGAAACAUCUCAGUACCCACAGGAAGAGAAAACAACAGUGAUUCCGUCAGUAGUGGCGAGCGAACGCGGAAGAGGCCAAACCAUGUGCAUGUGAUACCCGGCAGGGGUUGUGCGUGUGGGGUUGUGGGGUUUGUCUUGUCGAUUCUGCCGGAUCGGCCGACAGUAAGAAAUCAUGUGGUUAGUCGAAGUGGUCUGGGAUGGCCUGUCGUAGAGGGUGAGAGUCCCGUAGACGAAAACUGUGUGACUGUCGUGAUGAAUGCCCAAGUAGCAGCGGGCCCGUGAAAUCUGCUGUGAAUCUGUCGGGACCACCCGAUAAGCCUGAAUACUCCCUGGUGACCGAUAGCGGACUAGUACCGUGAGGGAAAGGUGAAAAGUACCCCGGGAGGGGAGUGAAAUAGUACCUGAAACCGUGCGCUUACAAUCCGUCAGAGCCUUCGAGUGACUUGUCACUGGGGGUGAUGGCGUGCCUUUUGAAGAAUGAGCCUGCGAGUUAGUGGUAUGUGGCGAGGUUAACCCGUGUGGGGUAGCCGUAGCGAAAGCGAGUCCGAAUAGGGCGUUCCAGUCGCAUGCUCUAGACCCGAAGCGGAGUGAUCUACCCAUGGCCAGGGUGAAGCGACGGUAAGACGUCGUGGAGGCCCGAACCCACUUAGGUUGAAAACUGAGGGGAUGAGUUGUGGGUAGGGGUGAAAGGCCAAUCAAACUCCGUGAUAGCUGGUUCUCCCCGAAAUGCAUUUAGGUGCAGCGUCGCGUGUUUCAUCCUGGAGGUAGAGCUACUGGAUGGUCUAGAGGGCCCACAAGCUUAUCGAAAUCAGCCAAACUCCGAAUGCCAGGAUGUGAGAGCGCGGCAGUGAGACUGCGGGCGAUAAGGUUCGUAGUCGAGAGGGAAACAGCCCAGAUCGCCGGCUAAGGCCCCUAAGCGUGUACUAAGUGGAAAAGGAUGUGAAGUCGCGAAGACAACCAGGAGGUUGGCUUAGAAGCAGCCACCCUUGAAAGAGUGCGUAAUAGCUCACUGGUCAAGUGAUUUUGCGCCGACAAUGUAGCGGGGCUCAAGUACACCGCCGAAGCCGCGGCAUUCGCACAAUAGCCCCCGGUUCCCUUGCGAGGGUUCCGGCAGGUGUGUGGAUGGGUAGGGGAGCGUCGUGUGGCCAGGGAAGCGCCGGAGUGAUCCAGGUGUGGAGGCCACGCGAGUGAGAAUGCAGGCAUGAGUAGCGAAAGACGAGUGAGAAACUCGUCCGCCGAAUGAUCAAGGGUUCCUGGGCCAGGUUAAUCCGCCCAGGGUGAGUCGGGACCUAAGGCGAGGCCGACAGGCGUAGUCGAUGGACAACGGGUUGAUAUUCCCGUACCCGUGUAUCCGCGCCCAUGAUGAAUCAGGAGUACUAACCGUCCAGAGCCGCCAGGAGCACCUUCGGGUGCCGGGUGUGGUGAUGCACGGGACCUUUCCUGGUAGUAGUCAAGCGAUGGGGUGACGCAGGAAGGUAGCUGAGCCAGUCAGUGGUAACACUGGUGUAAGCCUGUAGGGCGAGACCUAGGCAAAUCCGGGUCUCACAUAAGCCUGAGAGGUGAUGCAUAGCCGAAUGAGGCGAAUUCAGUGAUCCUAUGCUGCCGAGAAAAGCCUCUAGCGAGCUGGUACACGGCCCGUACCCCAAACCGACACAGGUGAUCAGGUAGAGAAUACCAAGGCGAUCGAGAUAACUAUGGUUAAGGAACUCGGCAAAAUGCCCCCGUAACUUCGGGAGAAGGGGGACCCCUGCUGGUGAUCACUCUUGCAGUGUGAGCUGGUGUGGGUCGCAGAGACCAGUGAGAAGCGACUGUUUACUAAAAACACAGGUCCGUGCGAAGUCGUAAGACGAUGUAUACGGACUGACGCCUGCCCGGUGCUGGAAGGUUAAGAGGACCGGUUAGUUCCUUCGGGAGCGAAGCUGAGAAUUUAAGCCCCAGUAAACGGCGGUGGUAACUAUAACCAUCCUAAGGUAGCGAAAUUCCUUGUCGGGUAAGUUCCGACCUGCACGAAUGGCGUAACGACUUCUCAGCUGUCUCAACCAUAGACUCGGCGAAAUUGCAUUACGAGUAAAGAUGCUCGUUACGCGCGGCAGGACGAAAAGACCCCGGGACCUUCACUACAGCUUGGUAUUGGUGUUCGGUUCGGUUUGUGUAGGAUAGGUGGGAGACUGUGAAGCAUGCACGCCAGUGUGUGUGGAGUCGUUGUUGAAAUACCACUCUGAUCGUAUUGGAUACCUCAACCUCGGACCAUGAUCUGGUUCAGGGACAGUGCCUGGUGGGUAGUUUAACUGGGGCGGUUGCCUCCCAAAAUGUAACGGAGGCGCCCAAAGGUUCCCUCAGCCUGGUUGGCAAUCAGGUGUCGAGUGCAAGUGCACAAGGGAGCUUGACUGUGAGACUGACAAGUCGAGCAGGGACGAAAGUCGGGACUAGUGAUCCGGCACCGGCAAGUGGAAGCGGUGUCGCUCAACGGAUAAAAGGUACCCCGGGGAUAACAGGCUGAUCUUCCCCAAGAGUCCAUAUCGACGGGAUGGUUUGGCACCUCGAUGUCGGCUCGUCGCAUCCUGGGGCUGGAGUAGGUCCCAAGGGUUGGGCUGUUCGCCCAUUAAAGCGGCACGCGAGCUGGGUUUAGAACGUCGUGAGACAGUUCGGUCUCUAUCCGCCGCGCGCGUCAGAAACUUGAGGAAGGCUGUCCCUAGUACGAGAGGACCGGGACGGACGAACCUCUGGUGUGCCAGUUGUUCCACCAGGAGCACCGCUGGUUAGCUACGUUCGGAAGGGAUAACCGCUGAAAGCAUCUAAGCGGGAAGCCUGUUCCAAGAUGAGGUUUCUCAC
Molecule: ribosomal RNA, 3049 nt
Filed under: Rhodococcus sp. BP-333
Lineage: Bacteria; Bacillati; Actinomycetota; Actinomycetes; Mycobacteriales; Nocardiaceae
Also listed under: 3 other names
Description: partial 23S ribosomal RNA
Rfam family: Bacterial large subunit ribosomal RNA
Source: RNAcentral